This 249-nucleotide ribosomal RNA is filed under the name Salmonella enterica subsp. enterica serovar Infantis. Its description in RNAcentral is "partial 16S ribosomal RNA". It matches the Rfam family "Bacterial small subunit ribosomal RNA", at positions 1 to 246 of the family's 1533-position model. Lineage: Bacteria; Pseudomonadati; Pseudomonadota; Gammaproteobacteria; Enterobacterales; Enterobacteriaceae. The record is from RNAcentral. RNAcentral also lists the same sequence under 1 other name.
AAAUUGAAGAGUUUGAUCAUGGCUCAGAUUGAACGCUGGCGGCAGGCCUAACACAUGCAAGUCGAACGGUAACAGGAAGCAGCUUGCUGCUUUGCUGACGAGUGGCGGACGGGUGAGUAAUGUCUGGGAAACUGCCUGAUGGAGGGGGAUAACUACUGGAAACGGUGGCUAAUACCGCAUAACGUCGCAAGACCAAAGAGGGGGACCUUCGGGCCUAUUGCCAUCAGAUGUGCCCAGAUGGGAUUAGCU